This 1671-nucleotide long non-coding RNA is filed under the name Homo sapiens (human). Its description in RNAcentral is "HSALNT0101284". Lineage: Eukaryota; Metazoa; Chordata; Mammalia; Primates; Hominidae. The record is from RNAcentral.
UUUCUUCUCAUUGCACUUAGACUUAGGUGUGUCCAUUUGUUUGAAGGGUUUGGAUGGAUAUUUUCUGGGGGGAUCCCGUCAUUUCAAGGGCAAAGAUUUUUAAAAAUAAAAAAAAAGAACCCAAUUACAACUCUAUCCUUUUCUUUCAGCCUCAAGGCAAACAACAUUCAUGCUUGCAUCUUCUGUGGUGUCUAUACCGCAGUCAGGGCCAAAAGAAACCACUUAAAAAGGAUUCCACCUAGCCUCAAUUAGGCACUGAUCAACAAUCACCACGUUUCUUUUCCUUACUACCUGUUCUGCCCCUUCUGGAACUUUUUUUUUUUUUCUUGGUGGCAAAUUUGUAGCAAUAGCCCAAAGUUUGUCCUUGAAUUUCAAUGUUCCACCCCCAUGCAUACCUGGGGCAAAGCAAGGCAUCUGUCAGCACAGACACUAGUUACAUCCACCAAAGAGAGAAAUCCAGGAACAUCGUGUAAAUAACCUGGUCACCCUUUGAAUGAAUUAUGCGGAAUUUGUGAACCUACUAACAAGGGAUCAUCCAGUUGGAUGGCUUCAGGGACAUGGAAAUCACUAGACUUUUAGAAACCUUCUUCGAAGUGGCAGUGCUCGUGAAGUUCUUUACCUUUACCAAAGGCAUGGCUCUCCAGAGAGCACAGGCUCCUGCACAAGAACCAGCACUUCAUCAGGAGAGGCUGCAGGUACUAAGUGAUGUCCUUGGCUCAGUUUUGUUUCCAUGGUAACUGUAUGCCACUUUUCACUAGCACGUUUCAACAUUUUCAUAACAGAGUUAAAACUACAUACACAGAACACCUCAAAAAUAAACACAAACGCAGUCAAGUCAUCUUAAAAGAAUGUGAAAUCCAUGUGUAUGUGUUGGUGGCUGCAGAGGGGGUGUGCUCCUGCUCUCACAAGAACCCGGCUUUCUUCAUUUCCAAGAAAAGUGAAGACAGGUACAAUCUGAGGAGCUUCUGAACUUAUCUUGGGUAGCCGACUGGGCACAAGUUUCAGUGAACGUAUGUUUGGCAUCUGUGUUGUAUUUUUCAACUUACAAAACUUCUGUUAAAAACAAUGUUUAAUGCCAGACCUAUGGUUAACAGCCAAGCUCCCCUAAGUUAAGGCAUUUUUUGAAACCUUGCUCUGAAGUGACACCCUGUGGUAAACAAUGAUAAAGGCCAACAGUCUUUCCUGAGCAAGAACAGAAUCUACCAAAAGAUCCUCUGUGGUUUUUACAGCGCUUUCCCAAGAGCAUGAGAGCCCUUCAGGUGGACAGAGGGCAACACACUCCAGGCUGAUGGAAGACAGACGAUGAAGAUGUGAUUAAAACCCUAACCAAACUAUUUCUGCAUGAGCAAGCGGGGCACUGUCGAUACUCUCAGAAUCACAGCAGCCACUCCUUAUAAACCGCUCCGAACUUGCUGAUAUGCUCUGUACUGUAUACAUAGCUCACGUGACACAAAACACAAACCAACUGCUGAGAGAGGUAAUUCAGUGAAUAAACGGCAAAAGUUGGCUUUGAAUUGGUGCAGACACUGCUGUCUCUAUUCUUAACUACUCUGAUAUAAAACAAGGAUAAGUGAAGGGAAAUGAAGAAACUUUGAGGGUUUAUUCAAUAUUUAUAUAAGCCCGAAGGUAUCCUAAGCACUUGCAAAAUAAAUGUCUAAAUAAUUAAACCAU